Molecule: long non-coding RNA, 1964 nt
Organism: Homo sapiens (human)
Lineage: Eukaryota; Metazoa; Chordata; Mammalia; Primates; Hominidae
Source: Ensembl
AGAGACGAGGUAAAAUUCUGGCACCUAUCCACAGCCUGAACCUUGGAGAACACCUCCCUUUCAUAUGACUUCUGCAAAGGGCGUGUUUCAGCUCACAGGGACAAAGAGUCACUGCACCAGAGAACCAGAAAGAGAUGUUUCAGGAAACUGCCGCAACUUUGUAGAGCACAGUUUGAAAGCUACUGCUGAAGAAAUAUGUCACCUUGAAGGCUUUUUAAACACGGGAUUUGCAAGAUAGGGUUUGCAUUUUAGAAACAUUAUUCUGCUUGCUACACUACUGAGUUUGGAUGAGGGAGACUUGAAGGCAAGGGAGCUCUGUUAUGAAAUAACUACACUUUUCUUAUAGAAGAAGACUAUAAUAGACUGUAUCAAAAAUGUCUACGUUCCAUAGCAUUGGUGGAACCAUGCAUUACGUCUGAGGACAAGGACGGGAACCUUCUGUGGCGUGCUGUCAACAGCUUUAAAUAGGCAUUGAGUUUGAAGAUAGAGCACAUGAAGGGCAUGUUACAGCAGAGCUGAAGGGAGAACAGUUGAUGGGGUUUGGUGAUCAACUGAUUUGGAGAGUAAAGCAAUGAGAAGAAUGACAUUCAUGAUUUGGUAUGAAUUAAGGGUUUAUUGGACAGAAGAAAUGAUGGGCAAGAGCGGGCAUGGUGUAGGGGUGGAGUUGGAAACUUCCUUUCAUAUGGUCAACACCUCAGCAACCUCAUUUAGACAUAGGACCUGUGCAUAGUAAUCCCUUUUGUCUUGGAGGUGAGUUGUUGAUUUUAUUUUUAUUUUUAUUUUUUAGCUCCUUGGCACUUCUUUCUAAGGUUAGGGAUCAGAAAGAAACAUAAUUGAGUUCCUGCCAAAUUGAAUAUUCAGAAAGGGCACUGAUAGGGGGAUCAAUUCCUUAUUUCUACCAUGAGACAGGCAAGAUAAAGAAGAGUUGAUAAUUUCUGCACCCAUCUUACUUCCUGCCCACCACAGAGCAGUUCACCCAGUGGCCUGGUUGGAUGUUAGCCAUUGGCAGGGCAAGAAAUCCAACAAUCGACUGUUGAAGAAUUCCAGAGAAUCAGUCUGGAUCUCUUUCACACAGACAAAGUCUUGUUCCAGCUAAUCUUAGGCUCCUAUGCGAGAGGAAAGAUGCUGGGAGGCCAGCACGGUGGCUCACACCCAUAAUCCCAGCACUUUGGGGGGCCAAGGUGGGCAGAUCCCUCGAGCCCAGGAAUUCAAAACCAGCCCGGGCAACAUAGUAAUAACCCCCAUCUCUACAAAAAAUUAAGAAAAAUAAUUAGCCAGAUGUGUUGGUGCAUGCCUUAGUCCUAACUACUCCGCAAGCUGAGCUGAGAGGAUCACUUGAGCCCAGGAGGUCAAGGUUGCAAAGAGCCAUGAUCCUGUGCCUAGGCAACAGAACGAAAAAGAUGUGAGAAAUACUCAAAGUCUUGGUCUUUACCCAGAAGAAUCAGAGCAAGGAAAAGAAAGAUCUCUUUCCCCAGUUUGACAUCCAUCUUCCUAAAUUUGGACAAAGGGAUCCUAAACCACAGCGUCCUACAGUGAGUCAAAAUGCCCAUGCACUGAUUCUCAUCUCACUGGAGUUACAGACACGGCUCACAGGCUUAAGCGUCUUGCUGUAGGUCAUACGGCAGGUUAAUGACAACACUGGGGCAAGAACACAGGUUACGCUCGUCCUGGGGAAGGCUCCCACACCAAGCUACACACUUCUGCAAUGCUGUUCCAGAUGUGAAAAUCCGCUAAGACAAAUAGGUCACAAAAACACCAUGGGAAACGAUGAUGUCUUUUCCUUUUUGUUAUCUUGAUAAAGCUUCAUACAUGGUAAGGAAGAGAAGUCUGGAUUCUGAUUGAUACACAAAAGCUGCAUUCCCACAUCAAGGGAACUCCGAGUGUUCACCCUCCGUGGUAAGGGGAGACUGGGAGACCCCACAAAAGCAUCCCAAGAGAGGAAGAGUCCCUUUACACACCUGCUG